GUGCUCGCUUGGGCUUCACAUUGCAAGAAUAAGAUCGAUACAGACAAGAUGAGCAUGGCCCUGCGCAAGGAUGACACACGAAUUGGUGAAGCGUUCCUGAUUUUA
This 105-nucleotide small nuclear RNA is filed under the name Eptatretus burgeri (inshore hagfish). The record is from RNAcentral. Lineage: Eukaryota; Metazoa; Chordata; Myxini; Myxiniformes; Myxinidae.